This 253-nucleotide ribosomal RNA is filed under the name uncultured bacterium. RNAcentral describes it as "partial 16S ribosomal RNA". It matches the Rfam family "Bacterial small subunit ribosomal RNA", at positions 524 to 776 of the family's 1533-position model. The record is from RNAcentral.
UACAGAGGUCUCAAGCGUUGUUCGGAUUCAUUGGGCGUAAAGGGUGUGUAGGUGGCGCGCUAAGUCGGGGGUGAAAUUUCGGAGCUUAACUCCGAAACUGCAUUCGAGACUGGCGUGCUUGAGGACUGGAGAGGAGACUGGAAUUCAUGGUGUAGCAGUGAAAUGCGUAGAGAUCAUGAGGAAGACCAGUGGCGAAGGCGGGUCUCUGGACAGUUCCUGACACUGAGACACGAAGGCCAGGGGAGCAAACGGG